This 497-nucleotide ribosomal RNA is filed under the name uncultured bacterium. RNAcentral describes it as "partial 16S ribosomal RNA". It matches the Rfam family "Bacterial small subunit ribosomal RNA", at positions 28 to 507 of the family's 1533-position model. The record is from RNAcentral.
GACGAACGCUGGCGGCGUGCCUAAUACAUGCAAGUCGAGCGAACGGACGAGAAGCUUGCUUCCCUGAUGGUAGCGGCGGACGGGUGAGUAACAUGUGGAUAACAUAACUAUAAGACUGGGAUAACUUCGGGAAACCGGAGCUAAUACCGGAUGAUAUUUUGAACCGCAAGGUGCAAAAGUGGAAGACGGUCUUGCGGACACUUAUAGCUGGAUCCGCCCUGCAUUAGCUACUUGGUAAGGUAACGGCGUACCCAGGCAACUAGGGAUAGCCGACCUGAUGGCGUGAACCGAUAGAUUGGCACAGAGACAGAGUCCCGACUCCUAAGGGAAGCAGCAGUCGGGACUCUUCCGGGAUGGGCGAGAGCCUGACAGUGCACCGCAGCGUGAGUGAUGAUCCGCUACUGAUCGUCAAAUUCUGAUAUAAGUGAAGAAGAAAUGUGUAUAUAACUGUGAAGAUCAUGACGGUACCUGGACAGGAAGCCCCGGCUAACUACGUG